Molecule: non-coding RNA, 11533 nt
Organism: Equus caballus (horse)
Lineage: Eukaryota; Metazoa; Chordata; Mammalia; Perissodactyla; Equidae
Source: RefSeq, a predicted model, not a curated record
UUUCGCAUUGUACUAGUGCAAGGAUGAGGCAAAAGUCAUUUCUUACUGAUUUGAUCUGACUCUAACUUCUGUCUGUUAGAUUAGCUGUAAGGCUGACUGGCUCACUGAAUGGGUAGGUUGUUUGGGUUAAGCAGUUUUGUAAGAGUCUACUAUUUGGAUAUUUUAUCUGCAGUCUUACUCAUUCCAAACUAGCUCUGCCAUUGAAAAUUAUUUGAUACAAAAAAAGGAGUAAUUGUGACUAAAUUUUAGCAGGAAUCUUUUUGUGGCAAAAGUCUCGAGCCACGUCUCCCUUCUAAUCCCCUCCCAUUCUUCCCCCUAUUGGCUUGUUGCUGAUCAGGAAACGCGUCAAUUAUGCUCCGAACCCACUUCUUUCCCCUUGCUGUUGCCACUGCUCAGCUCUCAGGGUAGACAGCCUCCUGUGCAAGCCCCUCAUUCGGGUCAGAUGUGGGCUCCAACGUGAGCUAUUCUGACCUCUUGAUCUGCAGCGUCACCCACUCCGGGUCACUCAGGCUCCCUGGCUCCGCGUCACUCCUUGAACUUCUUUAUCCCAUCUCAGUGCCCUGAUGGAGACGAAGUCAGAGAAUGAACGGCUCAGGCCAAUAUGGAGAUGAUAUUCUGGGAAGGAAGAUGACUUUCACAAAACUUAUCUGCUAUAAAGUCCGUGGUCCAAGACUACAGGCUCUGUGGAUGAAGAUUUGUGUCACAAAAUUUCCCUUCAUGGAAAGACCUGUUGCUCCAGCAACGAGCUCCUUCAGGAUCCGUAGACGUCAGGGGCAUGCUGGCGGGUCACCGCACUGAAGAGAGUGCAGGCCUAAUCUUUCACUGCUCAGGGGAACCAAGUGCAGUUCUUGGUGCUGAGCGUGUCCUGUGUGGUCAGACAUCACCCUGACAAGGUUAUUGGGUUUUUUGUGUUUCUCUUUCUUUCUUUCUAUACUGGGCCUGCCAGAGUAUAGCUGAGAAUGCAAGUUUUCUCCCAAGAGAUUUCUGGGCACCAUACAACAAGACAUAUCUCUAGACCCUAUCCAGUUGUCUCUAAAUAUGCUGGAAUAAUUUAGGCUAUUUCUACCUAGAACAUCUCAAAGUGAUUAACUUUCUAGGCUAGUACAAUCUAAUCUCAUCAGACUUCCCAUCUCUGACAUUCUUAAGUAUCAUCCUAAGGAAGACUCUCUUUAUGUCUCUGUCCUUGAUGGUCUCCAUAUUGUCUUUGCUACACGAAAACUACUUGCCAACACUUUCACUUCUACACAGAGACCUUCCUUUCACUGAGGCCCUUUUCCGACUCUUCUUCCAUUCUGCUCUCUGCCACCACCACACCAGUCUAUGAUUAACAAAUUCCUAUAUCCUCAACCUCUUUACUAACUAGAAUUUCCACCUUCCUACUGUACUUAGUACUAACACCGCCAUUCUCCUUUGAUUCUUCAUGACCUCUUCUUAUUCUUCUCAGGCCACACUCAUUUAUACUCAGGGUUUCAAAAACAACCCACGUGCUGAUGCUAAGCCCAAAUAUUUCCCUUGAUUUCUAGGACCAUAUACCCAACCACAAUAUUCAAUACUCAGAUAACCAUUACCCUCAAAGAACAGUCGUACCUUACCAUGACCAGAGUAGGUUAGACAUCAUUCAUUCACUCAUUUACUUAUGCAGCAAGGAUGUAUUAAAUACUUGCUUACAGCUGUGUCCUAUGCUGGGUUAUAAGGAAACAAGUCUCCUUGCACUCGUGGGUUUAGUGUAGAGAAUGUUUCUAUAUAUAGAACUAGUUGCAAUGUAGUGUUCCAGACUCCAUGAAAGAUGGUGUAGAGACAACAGUAAGUUCAUGAAGAGGGAGCUUUUACUUAUACCUGGGCAGAUCAAACGAGUUUUGUGCCGAAGAAUGGGUCUUGAGCUGUAUCUACAACAUGACUAACAGGUGGGAGCCAGAUGGAUGGAGAGGGGGUGACGUUAAGCUGCCAUUGUCUCAUCAUGAGUAUGCUCCCCACUCAUGUAUUAAGAUAUGGUAUACUCGUUCACUUACAUUUCUGUCCUUAUGACGGACCCUGCACCUUCACCGUUUAAACCCUAUGUAUGGCACUAAACAUGACACGUAUUGGGCGUACAGUAAAUGUUUAUAAUGAACUACUGACCUCUGUAUUUACGCACCUUUCAAUAGAAGAACCAGCACCGAAGCCCGAGUCUCAUUACCUCAGAUGAUUCUUUUAAAUUGUGUUGUACUCUCUAAUGUAAUAGGAUGCUGAUAAAAACAUAUAUGACAUAAGUCUAAACUGUCUUUCCAUUUGGCCUUUAAAUGGAGGUUUACAAACUUCCACCAGUACAUGAGCGCCAAAGAUUUUACAUUGGUAGAUUUUCAUAUAUUCUUUGCUAUACCACAGAAUUAAUUAUUGAUGAAAUGGCUGAGCAACAAGGAAGACGGAAGACGGACGUUACGCCCUAAAAGGGAAGUUUUGUCACUGCCUGGAAACCUUUAUCCCUUAAAAAAAUCUGUAAUGUAAAGCAUUACAUUGUAUGUGAUAUUUCCUGAUCAUAUUUUUAGACGCAUUUGUAAACAUUUAGGAAUAGAAUGCUCUUCAGCUUUUUGAAUCAGUUUCUUUAUUCAAUGCCUGCUUUCAUAAACGGUUUUCAUUUGUCCUCUGUCAUGUACCUUUGGCUUGUGGUGAUAUUUAUAAUGAGUCAAUCAGCAAAGGUGACUGACUGAGCUGAUUUAUGCCAGAUGGGCCUCUCCCCUUCACAUAUAAAUGGCAUGAACUCCAUAAAUCUAAGCUCUGAAGGUGUUAGCCAGCUCUAAUGAAAACACAGACGUUUACCUCAGGGGACCAAGCAGUGGCUUCCUUCUGUUCCUUCACCCUGGAAAGAGCAAGAGGAGAUCUAAGGUGCUGCUGACACAAUUUUCUGUUAUUUCCUGAUUGUCACCUGUUUUAUAUGACUUCACAUUUUAAACUUUUGAAUUUAUAAAUAAUUCCCAGAAUUAUUAAUAUUAAGAGACCCUCAGCAUUAAUUAGUCAGUAGGAAUGAAUAAUAAGACUGAACAGUUAUUAAGUAACCUCUUUAUGCCGGGCAUUGAGGUGAGAAAUUUGCAAUUUCACUUAUUCUUCACAAAAACCUUCCAUGGCAAAUACGAAAAUGGUCAAUAUCACUUAACAUUUGAAGAAACAAAACCAUGAGAGAAGUAAGUUCACAGUCAUAUCAUAGGUAAGGCCUGACAAGCGUUUAAAUCUUUAUAGUCUAAUUCCAGAGUCCAAACUUUUAAACCUGAUACUACAUGACCCCUCAUCUGUGAAUAUAAAUAAAUACAGAUUUAUAAGAAUCUUGCAUUCUAAAUCGAAAAGGUACAAACAUAAUUUAAUAUGAACAUGUUUAAAGGAAAUAUAUAUUUAUGCGUAAGCAAUGCAGAAGUUAGUUGGAAAUACGAGUCUCAUUAAGAUAUUCAUUCUUAUGACAAACAAGUAUGACUUGUUAUCUUUAAUUUUGUCUUCUCUCUAGGAAAUGUAAUAAUGGAAAAUAAUUAAAGUGAUGCUUAAUCACGGCUGUCAGUAUUGGCAAUCUCGUAAGUCAGUUAAAAGAGCAAAUAGAGACCAGUCUAACUCAUGGAAUCUUAAGGAAUAUUACGCCAGCUUGUUGGAAAAUGUCCAUACUCACAAAAAUAUUAUAUAUUAGUUCUAUUUAUUAAAUAUCAUUUUGUCUUCCCAAACUACUCAUUAUUAUCUUACUAUAGCAGCUAAUUUUCCCUAAACAUUUCAUAGUUAUUGAAAUUUAAAAUAUAUAUUUAUUCAAAAACGGAAACAUCCCAUGUUUGUCUUUUGUUAAUUAUGAGCAAUGUUCUAGCACUUCUUAAUGAAGCACAAGCUGAAAUAGCACUUCACAAAAUGCCAUGAACUGUCACCCCACUUUCAAAUCCUUCUGAAGACUAGUUAGGAUAUUUUAAGGCCAUAUAUGUUUUCCCUAAUUUUAGUAUUUACAGUAAAAGUGAAAAAUUCUGAACUUUUACCCUUAGUCUUAUUAUAGAGACCCUAACAAAUGGUGACGUAGACUCUAAACAUGUUUUCAGACCAGGGCUGCCAUGUCCAGCUGCGCAGGUCGUGCAGUGCAUCACUGUGGGAGGGGCCGCUCGCAGCGUCUGUGUGAUGGCCCCACUCCAGACCCAGUGUUCAGUGACAUUGACAUGGAAUAUCAAGAACAAAGGGCCUGUUAGCAAAAUUCAGAUUUAGGGAAAAGAAGAAAACAUGACAUAUUUUACAUCCUUUUACACAUCAGACUCAAACUUUAAUUCUGUUAAAAUUUUGAUGUUUUAUGUAAUGAAACUUGGUCUCUUUAAUACUAACACAGAUUUUGCAAAAUGGAGCACCAGUUUGUGGACAUAGACUUACGUCUACAUAUAGACAUAUGCUAAAGGCUGUCUAGUCAGCCUUUAAUUCUCAAGGUCUGCAAGAUGUCUUCACAGAUGAACUUAUGAGUGUGAGGAAGGGAUAAAGCAUGGCAUGUCCCCAAGAAGCAGUUGAAUCCUGUGGGUGUGUUUUAUUCCUAUUCUUUGAGCAGUAAGUAAUAUUUCCCUUUCAUUUUUUGUGCCCUUAAUAUAGCUGUAAUGGGUAACAAAAGGUGUUUUUAUAUUUGAUUAGGAAAACAUUAGACUAUAAUAAUUAGUUUUUCCAUUUAAAUUCCCUAAAAGAGAGUUGCUAGUGGAAGAAAAGAAAUCGUUUUUAGAAUAAGCUAGCUACCUUCAAAUUACUUGAAGAAAAAUGUAACUAGCUAGAGCUCUAGUCAACAUUUACAAAACGCUUUAAUAGAAAACAAGUCACAUAUCUCAGAGCUUAAGAGGGAUAUAAACUGCAAACAUUAUUUUCUUUAUGUUCAUUUUGACUAAAAGUAUCAGUCAUUCUAAUGGCUGGUUAAAUAAGACCAAACGAUUCCAUUCCAUCUGGGCCGCAUGUGUCAACAACUCACUUACGCGUUUACGCUAAUGUCUGCUUAAUGCUUGGUUGUUGGUUGCCACCAUUUUACUUGAGAACAUGAGCUCAGUAUUGAAAGGGUCAUUUUACACAAAUUUAAAAGUGUGUAAAUAAUGUGGAUAAUGGGAUUUAUUAUUUUUAUUUGAAUAAACACAAUUUUUAGGUAACAAAUAAAAGACCUUCAUUAUAAGAUGAGAAAAAGUGCUACACAGUUAAUCAUGUUAACAAUACAUUUUAUCUUGUUUCUUUUAUAUUCUAUCAUUAAAAAGCUGAAAUUCCUGUGCACAGUGGACUUUAAAUUAAGGCAAUUCUGGCUUUGAAAAAUAUUUAUGUUUCAGAACUUCUUUCUUAGACUUAUUUAAUGUGUCUCUCUUCUGGUUUCAGUAUCCUGGGUACUUUCUCUAGGGGUUCUAUGCAGAAAGGAGACAAGGAGGCGUGAGGGAGGACAAAUGUGGUCUCAUCUGACAGCUUUGAAUAAAUUCUGCAGGACAGAAUGGUGUGUCAUUUCAAGUCCAGCCCGUCCCCCGCAUAGAUGUAAUGUGCUGUCAAGUUAGACUUGCCGGCAGCAGGUUUACACGUGACUUAUUGUAGUGGGGCGAAGCUUAAACUGAAAAGCGAGCUUGACUUUGUACAGGGUUAUUCCUACUCAAUACCUUUUUAAAAGCUCACACUUAGAAUGUAUAUUUUUAGGAACUAGAUGUUAAUAUUAAAAUGUUGCUGGAGUAGAGGACAAACCAAGAUUUGCUGAGAGUACUUUUCUUGUUUUCUUCACUUUUUUUCCUCAUCUACUGUACUAUUCUCAUCCCCACCUUCCUCAACUCCACCACAGCUCCAAUUUAGAAAAAUGGUGAAUCCUUUAGAUCUAUGCACUGACCAUGGGGGAAAUGGCUGCAGUUGAAAUCUCACAUUAGGUAGAAUUCAUGUAUUCAUCUAUUUAUCAUUAUACAUAUCAUUCGUUUAUUUAUCACAACUAUCAAAGAGAUCACUGCAGAGCCCUGAAAUGGGCAGACGCUCUACUGGACACGGGAGACACCCAGUCCCUUCAGGAGCUGACACGGCAGUAGAGAAGGCAGGGAUAUGUUCAUAAGCUAAAUCCUAAGCUCGUAAGUGCUCUGAUGGAGAUAUGCACGUGGUGUGCUGGGAAUCAAGAGGGGCGUCAGAAUCACAUGACAGAGUCAGGACAGGAGUUGAAGGACAGAAGCUGGAUUCAGAGGGUGGACUGAAGUUAGUCAGAUGAAGAUGAGAGAGAAUUUUAGGGAUGGAGGAUGACUGGGCCAAGGGGUUUUAGCAAGAGGUAACGCUGUGCAAUCACAGCUAUGGAACCUGGAGCUGUAGGUCUUAGAACAGAAGUCUAUGCUGUGUGUAGGAACUGUGAAGCUGUGGAGAAGGGUUAUGAGGCUUACAGUUCCUGAUUGCAUUCUAGAACAGUUGUUCUAAGGGCAGUAAUGUGGAAGGGGUGGGGGUAGAUUCCAGGGUGAUUUGAUAUAAAGAUCCAGUGGGACAUUAAAUACUGUAUCUUAGAUAGGAAACAAUAAGGUUCUGAACUGAGAUACUGACUUUUAUAAUAAUAGGAUCAAGGAUUAAUUUGAAAGAUAAAAUCAACAAGACUCCUCUUUCAACAGAGAUGGAGGAAGCAAGAGAAAAGGUGGCUCCUGAAGCAGGGUCACUGGAGAGGCUGGAGGGCACGGACUCCCCUGGAAACGGGACGAGCAGACGGGAGCGGGCUUUUCCUUCAAUUACUUGGCACUUAAGGCAGCUCAAAUGAUUGCAGAUGGAGUAAAGGCUCAGGAGUGAGGGGAAAAUUAAGAGCGAUUUCAUUAAUGACUUUAAUUUUCUCAGUUAAGUGGAAGGCAAACUACUCCACUGCAGUUGAGGAGCGGCCGGGUAAAGGUGGCAGAGGAGACUGGCAAGUGCUUGGAAUGACUGAUACAGGACUGGGGGAAGGAGACAGUCAGGAUUGCUGAACACCCUUUAGGUCUCACUACUAAAGAGUUAUUAUAUUUCUUGUUUGUUGGCUUUUAAAACAAUGCAAUGCAGUGCUGAGUAAUAACUAAUCUAAAUGUGACCCAUUGGCAUGGGAGGCAAAAGCGCGGAGGACUGGUCACGGGAUUGGAGAAGCCCAGGAAUUGUGAGGGUACAGUUCAGGAUAAUCAGGUGAUGAUGUUCACCCGCAGGCUAAGGAAGUUAUUCACUCAAUCUUACUUGUUGAGCACCUGCUGUAUGCGACACGUUACACAAACAUGAGAAAACGAGCUUCUUCGAGAAGCUUAAAAUCUUAUAAGGAAUGUGCUGCAGGCUUAUAACAUAGAAAAAUAAGACAGCAUUUGAAGUCAUAAUAGUCAUUUGUGUUAUCACAGUCAUCUCUAAAGUACUGGGAAAUUCACUUUACUUUUUAGACACUCUUACUUUUCUUAGUAGAACCACAUUUCUCAUGUUAUAAUACAUAUACAUAUAUGCACGUAAAGGGCCCUUAAUAGAUAUGCAUAAUAUGCAUAACCAAACAUUUGUAACAUACAUACAUACAUGUAAAAGUAAAGGGCCUUCUGCCAUGUUCUCAAAGAAGAUUUGUGAGUAUCCCAAUGGUUGUACUCAGUUUCUUCAGGCAGUAGCUGAAAUACCGCCUUCGAUCUCGACAAUUCCUGGCCACCUCUCCCUCACUCUCCAAAGGAACAGAUUCAAAAGAAGCACACGGCGUAGCAAAUGAAAGCACCGGAAGAAAAAAUAUUACUUUUUCUAGAUGGCGUCCUCUGGACAAUGAACAGCCUACCUCUACUCCCGUGACUGGCACGUAGUAACACUCAGACACUUGCUGCAUGAAUGAAUGAGCAAAUGAAAGGAACACAGAAAGGGCUUUCCUUGAGGGUUAGACAAACUUGGAUGACAAGAAAGCUCUGUACUUGUGAAAAUUAAACCAAAAACACUCUUCUUAUUUGUAAAAUGGAAAUAAUAAUACCUCUUAUAAGAAUGGCAAAAGGUUCAAGUGAAACUUUUAUGUGUAUCACCUAGGAUUGUUUUUGUGGUUUUUCGUAUAGCAGGAAAAUUGAUUAAUUAAUGAGAUUCCCUUUAUUCUUCUUUCCCCAACGUAUUUCUGGUAACUUGACCCAUAAUUUCAUAAGGAUAAGUUUUUCAUUAACUAUGGAAACAGGAUUUAGGUUUUUUCAGUAUGUAAAUUGUGCUGCAUCAAAACACUUUAAAUUUUAUUAACUUUUGAAUUCACAAAUGUUGAGAGAAUCCUGUAUUUAUAACCAGAACAACUAGGAAAAGAACCAAACUUAUAUAGAGUUAACCACUUUCUUGCAAAAGUCCAAGUUGAAUUUUAUUUUUAAACAAACCCAUACAGAAGCCCAAUUUCCUAUGACCCCAAAUCUCUCUGAAGAAAUGAUGAAGAUUAAAAUCAUAUAUGCUCGAAACGCAAAAUGCAGUGUCCUCCUACUCCAGCAGGGAUGGGCUAAUUUGGGUGGCAUGAAUGCUGCUGUGGGACUUACAAUCAGAUAAACUUUGUAUUUGUUUGUAGAGCCUAGAAUCUUGAAAAAUUAACAGGAAAUUAGAGCAUGUCACUGAAACAGGACAGAGGUUGACAUUCUCAGAGGCAGAGAAAUGCUGGCAUCUAAGCCAGUAUAUAAUGGUCAAACCGCAGGGAGUAUCUGAAUUUCAAAGAACAAAAAAUUUCCUUUUGUGAACUGAACUGCCAUAGAGCCUUAGAAAGAGCUUAUGGCCAAGUGGAUUUCCACUGUUAUUCAUAUGCUAAAUUCAUAACCCCACCUCAGUGUGAAAGUGAAAGUAUUUUACAUGUAUGUUCAUACUGGAAGAAGUAGCCCCAAAGUCCAUCCCUAAAUAGAGUAAGGCUUAGAACGUCAGGAAGAGCCAGGAUCAAGUUCAUGGGCACCGAUUUACAGACCUGAUGGCUCAAACAACCGUAAACAUCACCACUGGAUUCUCUCUCUUGGUGAAGCUGAUGAGGCAUGAAAAUGAAAACGUGGCAUCUAUGAAUGACUCCCUCUAGAACGAGGACAUAUUUAUAUGGCCCAGAUCCUAAAUACAACUGUAAAUGUAGGGAGUCAGAAAUGAUGCGAUUAUGCUGAUAAGUGGACUCUGACAAUGAAGCCCUGGUAAAUUCCAAUCAUUGAUUUUCCAGCCACAGUGGAGACCGUCUCGAGAGUCAGGGCUCUCAAGCCCUAAAGUGCAUGUGAGUCACCUGGAUCUUGUUAAAAAUGCAGCUUUCGAUUGAGUAGGUCUGAAGUGGGAUCUGAGAGUCUGCAUUUCUGACAAACUCCUGUGGGAUGCUAAUGCUGCCGGUGUACAGAGCAAACUGAAUAACAGAGAUGUGGGCACAGCCAGUCUUGGCAUUGAGCUGGUGUCUGCAACAGUUGAUUGGUUUCCAGUGAAACAGAAUGUUAGAUGGCUGUGAUUGCUCGAUCACACAUUCUCAGGUAUUUUAAAGAUUGCAGCAAAAUGGGAUAAUAUGGUGCUCAUCCCAGGUGACUGAGACUUUGUACGGUUCAAGAUAACACUGUGUUCUAUUUACUUAUGACAAUGGCAGCCUUCGGUACAGUUUAAAUCUGGGAGAUUUAAAAACAAAUUAUAUGCGUCCCCCAGCCCAGAUGAAUGAAGUCAGAAAUUCUACAGUGGAUUCCAAUGUGAAGUUAGCCUAGAUUAAGAUCUGGUGGUUCUUAUUUACCUUCCUGGAGCCAAAAGCCUAGAGGAAAAGAGAAUUAAGACCUAAGACCUCUUGUUCCCUCAGCAAUUUCCUUCUCUUGAGUUUCAAGUUAGUAAAGGGGGCAUUGGUGGGAGCAGAGAGACAGGCUAACCAGGGAAACAGCAAACAUCAAACAGUAUGAUCAUCCAAGUAGAAGAGAGAGCACACAAGGCCAGAAUUAAAAACCAGGCUGCACUGCUCCCCCCAAGCAAAUUAAUCAUAUCCAUCUAUCUAUCUAUCUAUCUAUCUAUAAUUGAGAUAUGUAUAUAUAUAUCUCAAGGAAAGUGCAAUGAGGAUAAAAGAAACAUAUAUUAAAUUAUAACCUUUUAUUAUCUUUCUCUCUUUUUCUACCAACUAAAGGAAACUAUUUCUUUGGCAGCUCUGGCUUCACUGGAACCCUCGCCUACAAAGAGAAGGGUUAAGAUAGCAAGUUAAGAGGUGUUUACUUACAGGACAGAAAAUAAAGAAAGUGGGACAGAACUGGAGGAGCCCAGCCCGUGGGGACACCCACACUGGGAGCGCUCAUUGGAGUUGCUGAGUCCCUGUGCGAGCUCCGGUUGGCUGGACCAAGCAAACAAAGGCUUACGGAAUUUAUUCAAUGAGGAAAACUUUGAUUUGCGGAGCUAACUCAUACUUGCUUUUGUAUAUAAGACAUUUAUUUUUUUCUUAAAUUAACAAAUGAUCCUUCUUCAAAUCAAAAGUGAUAACAUAACUCUAAUGCAUGAUUUGUUCAAUUAUUUUUUCUCACAUUGUAAUUAUUAAAUGAAGCAGUAUGCAAAUUUGUUAGAGUCUGUUCCAGUUCUUAUUAAUAUCUUUAACCCACUAAAUUCUAGUCACUGUUUUCAAAUAUUUGAUAUUGCCAGGUUUAUAAAAUCUUAUUAAAAAUUAAAUACACAUGGAAGUUUCAAAUUGAGCUUUACAGGUUUAAUUAGUAAUGAAUCACUUAAAUGCUGAAUAUUUGUGUUUUACAGACACAGGCUGAGAGUCAAGGAUGCUCAUUUAAAAAAAAUUAGUUUGAAUCAAAUAAACUCUAUGUUAUUGGGUUAUUGAAUGUAUUUUCUUAAAUGAAACCCCAUGUUUUUAUUAAUCCAUUCAUUAAACUUAAAAAUCUUUAAUCUGUGACUUUCUCUUUGUGUGAGUUUUGUACACACACAUAUACACCGAGGGAAAAACUAUGGUUAUACAAAUAAUGUUUUACAAAUCUACAGAUAAGAUGUACUGCUAAUUUCUAAUUGCAAAUAUGUUCUUUAUUUCCUAUUGUUACUUUGUCUUCUAGACACCUGCCCACUCCCUAUUGUUGUAAAGAGUGAACUUCAACGAUUGCUGCUUUUGCGUGUCUAUAGAGCAGUGUGCUCUGUGCCUGGGCACUAUCAUUUGGCUUUUGCAAGUGAACAGAAAUUGAACAAGUUUUGCAAUUUUCUUCAAAAUACCAUGUAAUAAGCUGCUUUUUAUUAUACUAAUAAAACGUCUACAGAGAUUUUUAAGCACUACAGCAGUUUCUUUGGUAUUUGCUUAGUUGCUGUAUCAUAUGCUGCUGUCUUAUUUGUGACAAUGCAGGUAAUUGGGCAGAGGGAGGAACUGGAUGGGCCCACAAAGGCACGUUGGCCUUCCGCAACUAUCUUGCAAAGCAUUUGUAAGGAGAAGUGAUUGACAUUAGGUAUUCAGGACAUUGUUGCAACUAUGCAGAUGGAUCAUGAGGCCAAGUAGACAUACAGAAGAAGAAAUAAUUCUUCUAUGGGAAAAAUUCCAGUGGACUAAUGAACAUCCCUGUUUAUAUCUUGUCAGACAGAUAUCGUGGUCAGAAAAUACCGUAAACUUGGAUUCUGUUUUAAAAAUAAAGAUAAUCUAUUUAUUAUAGCCUUGUCAAUGAAAACAAUCCAUAGCCAAUCUAUAAAUGAAAAU